CCCUUAGAUGUUCUGGGCCGCACGCGCGCUACACUGACGAAUGCAACGAGCUUAUAACCUUGGCCGAAAGGUCUGGGUAAUCUCCAAAUUUCGUCGUGAUGGGGAUAGAUUAUUGCAAUUAUUAAUCUUCAACGAGGAAUGCCUAGUAAGCGCAAGUCAUCAGCUUGCGUUGAUUACGUCCCUGCCCUUUGUACACACCGCCCGUCGCUCCUACCGAUUGAAUGGUCCGGUGAAGCGCUCGGACCGCGGCCUCUUGACGGUUCGCUGUCGAUUGGCUGUGGGAAGUUCGUUAAACCUUAUCAUUGAGAGGAAGGAGAAGUCGUAACA
RNAcentral lists this ribosomal RNA (327 nucleotides) under uncultured eukaryote. RNAcentral describes it as "partial 18S ribosomal RNA". It matches the Rfam family "Eukaryotic small subunit ribosomal RNA", at positions 1470 to 1796 of the family's 1831-position model. The record is from RNAcentral.